AGCAGCAGCCACGGUAAUACGAAGGGUGCAAGCGUUAAUCGGAAUUACUGGGCGUAAAGCGUGCGUAGGCGGUUUGUUAAGUCUGCUGUGAAAUCCCCGGGCUCAACCUGGGAAUGGCAGUGGAUACUGGCAAGCUAGAGUGUGUCAGAGGAUGGUGGAAUUCCCGGUGUAGCGGUGAAAUGCGUAGAGAUCGGGAGGAACAUCAGUGGCGAAGGCGGCCAUCUGGGACAACACUGACGCUGAGGUACGAAAGCAUGGGGAGCAAACAGGAUUAGAUACCCGGGUAGUCCCUGUCUCUUAUAC
This 303-nucleotide ribosomal RNA is filed under the name uncultured bacterium. RNAcentral's name for it is "partial 16S ribosomal RNA". It matches the Rfam family "Bacterial small subunit ribosomal RNA", at positions 507 to 807 of the family's 1533-position model. The record is from RNAcentral.